This 496-nucleotide ribosomal RNA is filed under the name uncultured bacterium. RNAcentral describes it as "partial 16S ribosomal RNA". It matches the Rfam family "Bacterial small subunit ribosomal RNA", at positions 28 to 506 of the family's 1533-position model. The record is from RNAcentral.
GAUGAACGCUGGCGGCGUGCCUAAUACAUGCAAGUCGAGCGAACAGAUGAGGAGCUUGCUCCUCUGACGUUAGCGGCGGACGGGUGAGUAACACGUGGAUAACCUACCUAUAAGACUGGGAUAACUUCGGGAAACCGGAGCUAAUACCGGAUAAUAUAUUGAACCGCAUGGUUCAAUAGUGAAAGACGGUUUUGCUGUCACUUAUAGAUGGAUCCGCGCCGCAUUAGCUAGUUGGUAAGGUAACGGCUUACCAAGGCAACGAUGCGUAGCCGACCUGAGAGGGUGAUCGGCCACACUGGAACUGAGACACGGUCCAGACUCCUACGGGGGGCAGCAGUAGGGAAUCUUCCGCAAUGGGCGAAAGCCUGACGGAGCAACGCCGCGUGAGUGAUGAAGGUCUUCGGAUCGUAAAACUCUGUUAUUAGGGAAGAACAAAUGUGUAAGUAACUAUGCACGUCUUGACGGUACCUAAGCAGAAAGCCACGGCUAACUACGU